This 274-nucleotide ribosomal RNA is filed under the name uncultured bacterium. Its description in RNAcentral is "partial 16S ribosomal RNA". It matches the Rfam family "Bacterial small subunit ribosomal RNA", at positions 523 to 796 of the family's 1533-position model. The record is from RNAcentral.
CUACGGAGGGUGCAAGCGUUACUCGGAAUCACUGGGCGUAAAGCGCGCGCAGGCGGCUAUUUAAGUUGGAUGUGAAAGCCUACGGCUCAACCGUAGAACUGCACCCAAAACUAUUUAGCUAGAGUGUGGGAGAGGAAGAUGGAAUUAGUUGUGUAGGGGUAAAAUCCGUAGAGAUAACUAGGAAUACCAAAAGCGAAGGCAAUCUUCUGGAACACCACUGACGCUGAGGCGCGAAAGCGUGGGGAGCAAACAGGAUUAGAAACCCUAGUAGUCC